Molecule: ribosomal RNA, 292 nt
Filed under: uncultured bacterium
Lineage: Bacteria
Description: partial 16S ribosomal RNA
Rfam family: Bacterial small subunit ribosomal RNA
Source: RNAcentral
GUGCCAGCAGCCGCGGUAAUACAGAGGGUGCGAGCGUUGUCCGGAAUCACUGGGCGUAAAGGGCGCGUAGGCGGCCUGAUAAGUAGGGGGUGAAAUCCUGUGGCUUAACUGCAGGGCUGCCUCCUAGACUGUUAGGCUCGAGCACGGUAGAGGCAGAUGGAAUUCCCGGUGUAGCGGUGGAAUGCGUAGAGAUCGGGAAGAACAUCGGUGGCGAAGGCGGUCUGCUGGGCCGUUGCUGACGCUGAGGCGCGACAGCGUGGGGAGCAAACAGGAUUAGAUACCCUGGUAGUCC